This is a long non-coding RNA of Cyprinus carpio carpio, 395 nucleotides long. NCBI's taxonomy places the organism in Eukaryota, Metazoa, Chordata, Actinopteri, Cypriniformes, Cyprinidae. The record is from Ensembl.
AGACGCUGAGGGGUAGAGAGGGGGAGAUGCGAAGAUUGAAAGGGAUCUUUGCAAACACAAUCACGUUCUUAAAUGGAAAUGUGGGGCUUUAAACAAAUCUUACAUCUCUCCUGUUCCAGUCGUCUAAAACUCCGCAAUCAGGCACACGUUCGACUCCAUCUAAAACCACAGCUUUUUUUAGAAGAUUUUUUUGGUAUCACUUCUAUUUCAAUUAUUUACCUCACUGUAUUUUUUAGUUCACGUUCGUGUUUGUGUGUUUGUCUUGCUCUUAUGGGGUGUUUCCACAGGCUUUUGCGAGGAAAUGUGCCAUCACAUACGCAGAAUUCAGGCAUCAAACCAAAAGGCUUCUCUGUGACAUGUGUAAUGGGUACCCAUGCUUCCUGAGUAGCCACAAA